This is an RNA transcript of Gorilla gorilla gorilla (western lowland gorilla), 3571 nucleotides long. It is a transcript of the gene named protein FRG1-like, with no coding region annotated. The transcript is spliced from 9 exons. The record is from RefSeq and is a predicted model, not a curated record. NCBI's taxonomy places the organism in Eukaryota, Metazoa, Chordata, Mammalia, Primates, Hominidae.
CAGCCAUUCAGCGUUUGGGUCAAGACGAAGGCGGGUUCUGGACAGACGUACGCUGUCAGGGAUUGUUUACUUUGCCUCCACUUCUGUUCCUCCCCGCCCUGGUGCUGCUCCGGGUCACAUACUCGUCCUGAGCCAGCUUCAGCCUCUCCGCGCAGAAGUCUCCCGGAGCCGACUUCUGCGAGUCGAGUACUCUUAUGUGAAGUCUACCAAGCUCGUGUUCAAGGGAACCAAGGCGAAGAGGCGAGAUGGAAAGAAAGUAUCAAGGAGUGAGCUGAAGCCACUGCCCUUGAGAACCCUCUCGAGGAGUCUGGACUCAUGAAGAUGCCAGAAUAAGUGGCAGGUAUAUCCUGAAUGAAUGUGAGAUUUUUACUCUGUGAAUUUCCUAUGAGAAGUGUAAGAAGAAAAAGAGCAAAGAUAAGAAGAGAAAAAGAGAAGAAGAUGAAGAAACCCAGCUUGAUAUGUUGGAAUCUGGUGGACAGUAACAAACUUUGGUGAAAUUUCAGGAACCAUAGCCAUUGAAAUGGAUGAGGGAACCUAUAUACAUGCACUCGACAAUGGACUUUUUACCCUGGGAGCUCCACACAAAGAAGUUGAUGAGGGCCCUAGUCCUCCAGAGCAGUUUACGGCUGUCAAAUUAUCUGAUUCCAGAAUCACCCUGAAAUCUGGCUAUGGAAAAUAUCUUGGUAUAAAUUCAGAUGAACUUGUUGUUGGGCAUUCAGAUGCAAUUGGACCAAGAGAACAAUGGGAACCAGUCUUUAAAAAUGGGAAAAUGGCUUUGUCGGCCUCAAAUAGCUGCUUUAUUAGAUGCAGUGAAGCAGGGGACAUAGAAGCAAAAAGUAAAACAGCAGGAGAAGAAGAAAUGAUCAAGGAAACACUGGCCUCCUUCAUCCUCAGGCUGUGUUGCUGGAAGUCACCCAUCUCCGAGGCCCCUUGGGAUUGACUGAGUGACCAGCAGUGAAGUUCAUCCACCUUCUGAAUGGAUGCCAUCAUCUGACGUGAUGGAGCUCAGCUAUGAGCAGAGAUGGACGAGGUGGCUACAAUAAUGGAUCAAGGCUAUGAGCAGAGAUGGAUGAGUCAUUGGCUGUAAUGGAUUAAGGCUAUGAGCAUCUUGUGAAGUAGGAUGUUAAAUCUGUAAAUGUCAGAAUGAAUCCAAACUUACCAAUUCAAAAUUGGAUUGUAAAACAGCUCAAAAAAGACUGAAAACACAGCUCUACACUUUAGGAGGCUGAGUCAGGCAGAUUGCUUAAGUUCAAGAGUUGGAGACAAGUCCAGGAAACAUGGAAAAACCGUCUCAACAAAAAAAAAUAUAUAUUUCUAAUGAGCUGAGUAUGGUGGUAUGAGCCUGUGGUCCCAGCUUUUCAGGAGGCUGAGGUGAGAGGAUUGCUUGAGUCCAGAAGGUAGAGGCUGCAGUGAGCUCUGAUCACGCCACUGCAUUCCAGCCUAGGUGACAGAGUGAGACCCGUCUCAAAAACAAACAAACAAAAAUAACAAACAAAAACAGCUCUAAACGAAAGUGGCUAGAAAAGUAGCUCAAGUUGUUCCUGUCUGGUUAAAUAGAAACAUAAAUGAAUUACUUAUGUGCCCCAGUGGCUUCAUAAUGCUGAGAGCAAAGUCAAUUAUUCUAGCAGAUUCUAGAAAACUUAUAUCAUGGGGUUCAAUGAAUAUAUCAAAUCAUAAAUAUAAUAAUCAAAUCUGAAAGUGAAUCUAGUUUCAAAGACCUCAAAAGCCAGUGUUUAGGAAGCUCUUUUCCGAUAGAGACAAGGGAUUAUUUGACUUCUUAUCUCUGUUGUCUAGCACAAUGUCCAGAACACAACAGAUAUUCCAUAUGCACAGUCACAUCCUAUGUAUGUGUAUUUCUUUUCCAGCAAGGACUAGAGGUCCUAAGCUUUGUUUAUAUGGUGAGCCAGUGCCCCAAUGAGCAGCAGAAUCUUAGCACAGUCACCUACACACUCAUUUCAAUGCUCUGGCCCCUUAUCCAAGCUAGUCAAAGUGUGGUCUAUGGUUUUUCAUUGCAAGGGAUCCCCGGGUGAAUCUUGUGUCUGUCAAAGGAGGAGAAGCACUGCCCUCAAAAUAUAGAAAAGGUGAACUAAUUUAUCCAGGCAGCCUGGCUAUUUAUUCAAGUAUUUAUUUAUCUUGUUGAUGGGAAGAUUCAAAUUGACAUACACAAUCACCCUCAUAAGGAUUUCAGGUAAAAAACAAACAAAGGUUUAGAUAUCAGAUGUGUUUUAGAAUUACCGCACCAGUCUUUUUAUUACAGAAUCUAGUAGCAUAUUUCCAAUAGAUCUAGGUGAAAAUUUCUAUCUCAUGAGCCUUCUGUCGGUAUUUUUAAAAUUGGAUACUCUAUUAGUGGCCAAAUUGAAUCUCUUACAGACAUCUCACUCAAACUGUAGUCAUACUUUCCAAUAGGCCCCAUAAAAAUCCUUCUUCUGGAGCAAUCUAAUAUAUUUAUCCACCUCUUUAGACACUUAGAUAAGUAUAAUAAUACAAGUUUUGUGUGUGUGUGUGUGUGUGUAGUGUGUACCUUGUGGCCUUUUGUCCAGUUUCUGCAACACCUGAUGCUGAGGCAAGUUUAAUGUAAAUAACAUCCAGCAAUGUUAGAAAUGUUGACUUUUAUUUGCCCAUCAGGGAAAAAAAGGUGAAUGUCAUUGUAGAGGAAAUUUUCAUUCUGGAAAAAAUGCCUACUGUUUGAAUAUUACUUUCAUGCUUUCCACAGAUAUUAUAUUGCAAGGAUUAUGUUUCAAAGUCAUCAAAAAUAGAAAAUACAUUUUAUAUUUCUAGCUGAAAAUAAUAACAGUAAUUAGCCUACCUUUGGGGAAAUGUGAUAAAAAUACUAAUGACCAUCACAACUCAUUAAAAGCAUAAAAUGUGCAAUGAUUUAAACUACAUGUUAUUUCUAUGAAUCUGCGUAGAAAUGUAGACACAUUUGAUAAAUGCCAUUUAAAGUCUGAGUGCUUUGGUAAAUGAUUCAUCUAUAGGUUGAAGGGAUUACUUUUAUCUGCCUUCAUAGUGAGAAUUAGAUUUCUGUUCUUUAUAAAGCAGGGAAUACAGAUUGUGCAAGGAGUAAAAGCAUUCAAUCCUUAUUAAUAAUGAUGGUAGCUGAGCUGCAGAAAAGAAAGCCUGUCAGAGUAACGUGUUCAGUUUUACAUCAUAAUCAGAGUGUGUCCAUCUCUGUUGAAGGCAGAAUUAAAAACGCCUUCAACAUUUUUAAAAUAAUAGAUGAAAAACAUCUCAAAGUCACUUUUAAAAUUUGAAUUGAUGAUUCCACAUAACAGGAAAAGGACCAGGAACAUCUUAAAUACUUCACGAUGGAAGUGAUGUUUUAAGUGUAAUUUCAUCAAGGAGAAGUUUUUCCAGAAAGUCUUUUGACCUCAGUAAGAAGCUUAUUUACUCUGGUAAAUAGUUUCUAGUAAGAUGAGAAAGACUUGAUUUUUUAAAAACAAUUAAAAAUUUACAUUGUUUAAUCUAAUGUUGUGAUUUCGAAAGUACUACUUUUGCCCUUAUAGUUACGCAUGUGUAUUUAUAUGCAUUUUCUUGGUUCAUUCAAACGCCAAUAAAAUACUUUACUAUCCAG